AUGUAUAUGGUGUAAGGAACACACUAGCUUUUCAUGCUAGAAAUAUAUUUUAUAUUAUACAUC
RNAcentral lists this transfer RNA (63 nucleotides) under Duplodicodrilus schmardae. Its description in RNAcentral is "tRNA-Glu". It matches the Rfam family "tRNA". Rfam says of the family: Transfer RNA (tRNA) molecules are approximately 80 nucleotides in length. Their secondary structure includes four short double-helical elements and three loops (D, anti-codon, and T loops). Further hydrogen bonds mediate the characteristic L-shaped molecular structure. tRNAs have two regions of fundamental functional importance: the anti-codon, which is responsible for specific mRNA codon recognition, and the 3' end, to which the tRNAs corresponding amino acid is attached (by aminoacyl-tRNA synthetases). tRNAs cope with the degeneracy of the genetic code in two manners: having more than one tRNA (with a specific anti-codon) for a particular amino acid; and 'wobble' base-pairing, i.e. permitting non-standard base-pairing at the 3rd anti-codon position. The record is from RNAcentral. Lineage: Eukaryota; Metazoa; Annelida; Clitellata; Crassiclitellata; Megascolecidae.